This 21-nucleotide microRNA is filed under the name Tribolium castaneum (red flour beetle). RNAcentral describes it as "tca-miR-3853-3p". The record is from miRBase by way of RNAcentral. Lineage: Eukaryota; Metazoa; Arthropoda; Insecta; Coleoptera; Tenebrionidae.
GUUUUUUUCAAAAUAUGCUCA